RNAcentral lists this ribosomal RNA (490 nucleotides) under uncultured bacterium. Its description in RNAcentral is "partial 16S ribosomal RNA". It matches the Rfam family "Bacterial small subunit ribosomal RNA", at positions 28 to 507 of the family's 1533-position model. The record is from RNAcentral.
GAUGAACGCUGGCUACAGGCUUAACACAUGCAAGUCGCGGGGCAGCAUGGGGGUUGCUUGCAAUCCCCGAUGGCGACCGGCGCACGGGUGAGUAACGCGUAUCCAACCUGCCCUUCACCACGGGAUAACCCGGCGAAAGUCGGACUAAUACCGUAUGUUUUCCAUUGACGGCAUCCGAUUUGGACGCAAUGUUUGGGGGUGUAGGAUGGGGAUGCGUCCGGUUAGCUGGACGGCGGGGUGACGGCCCACCGUGGCGCCGCUCGGGAGGGGUUAUGUGAGGGAGGCCCCCCAGACUGGAACUGAGACACGGACCAGACUCGUACGGGAGGGAGGAGUGAGGAACAUUGGGGAAUGGGCGUAAGCCUGAACCAGCCAAGUAGCGUGCAGGAUGACGGCGCUAUGGGUUGUAAACUGCUUUUAUGCGGGGAUAAAGUGGCCCACGAGUGGGUUUUUGCAGGUACCGCAUGAAUAAGGACCGGCUAAUUCCGUG